Non-coding RNA from Elaeis guineensis (African oil palm), 2096 nucleotides. The record is from RefSeq and is a predicted model, not a curated record. Lineage: Eukaryota; Viridiplantae; Streptophyta; Magnoliopsida; Arecales; Arecaceae.
UAAUGAACUGGACCCUGUGGGCCACGCCAAGAGCAUCCAAUCAGGCUUUUGAGCCGAAGCUUCUUUCAUGCGUGCUCGUCUCUCUCUCUCUUUUUCUCAGAAAAGCAGUCCUCUCGCUCGAAGAAAAAAAAAGUUCGGUGUGAAUCCUCUCCAAAAUCUCCACAUUUUUGGUACCAAGGAAGAAAGCAAUCCAAGAAAAGAAAGAAGGAAAAAAACUUUAGGGAAGAAAAUCUGACCAAGUCAAGAGCGAAUCAGUUCCAGAAUCUAUAGUCAGAUCGAGUGCUUGGUUUUGGGGCAAUGACGCUUGAUUAUAGAGAGAGAAUGCAGAAUGAGGCACUUCGGUUUGUGACAUACAACGUGAACUUUGCUUCUAGGAGAUUCCCAAAUUACAAGAAAAGAGCUGAUAGUAUAACUGUCGAGCCAAACAAAGGGCCUGAAGCACCAUCCCUUAAAGAGGUUGUUGCAAAAGAGACUAUCGAGCUACUAGAGCGGCGUCAGCGUCUCUCUGUUCGUGAUCUGGCUAAGAAAUUUGAGAAGGGUUUGAACACUGCCACGAAGUUGUCUAAUGAGGCGAAGUGGAGAGAAGUGACUGACCGACAUGUCCUUCUGAAGAAAUUGAUGGUUGUACUUGAAUCACUAAAGGGUCACAUGGUGGGUCAAAGUAAGGAUGAAGUUGAGGAGGCAAUCUCUAUGGUGGAAAAUUUAGCAGUUCAGCUGGCUCAAAGAGAAGGAGAGUUGCUUCAGGAGAAAUCAGAAGUGAAAAAGUUAGCGAUCUUUCUUAAAAAGGCUUCUGAAGAUGCCAAAAAAGUGGUUGAAGAGGAAAGGGCUUGCGCUCGUGUGGAAAUUGAAAGUGCUAGAGCAGCAAUGCAGAGAGUCAUACAGGCUUUUCAUGAACAUGAAAUGAAAACCAGAAGCACAGAGAAGCAGAAGGAUAUCCAAGAGUUGAUGAGAGAAGUUCAAGAGGCACGAAGAAUCAAAAUGCUACAUCAGCCCAGCAGGGUAAUGCACCUGGAACAUGAACUUCAAGCAUUGCGUAUUCAGUAUGCUGAGAAGUCUCUGUCUUCUGUUCAGCUUAGGAAAGAGCUGGAAAGGAACAAAAAGCUUGAGGAAAAUAAGAACCAGUUGUAUGAGUUAGAAGGUCUUGAAAGUUUAGGCUCAUCUCUGCAUAUUAUUCCCCGAGAAGAUACUGCUCCAGAUAUCUCAACUUGUUCAAUUCAGUGGUAUCGUAUUCAGCCAGAAGGAAACAAAAAGGAAUUAAUUCCAGGGGCAACAAAAUCAGUGUAUGCUCCAGAGCCUUUUGAUGUUGGGCGCUUCUUGCAAGCAGAAAUUGUUUUAGGUGCUGAAAGCAUAACUAUUGCAACAACUGGUCCAAUAGAUCCUGCUGCAGGACUCGGAAGCUAUGUAGAGGCGCUGCUUCGAAAACAUGAAACAGAGUUCAAUGUGGUUCUUAUUCAGGUGAAUGGAGAAAAUCAUGCCUCAAACUCUAUUCAUGUGUUUCAUGUUGGUAGGCUGAGCAUCAAACUUAGCAAAGGAAAGAUGAUAUUGGCUAGGGAAUUUUAUUCCUCUUCAAUGCAGUGAGAGGAGAAAAUUCAUGUAUCUAAAGAAAAAAGGGUGGAAGAGGAUUACAAGAAGAAAGAAAGUUCCGGUGCAAAGCUCACACCUCUCUACAAACCUGUGGUGGCUCUCUACGGGAUAGGUUUUUUCUUUUUGUUUAAGAAGCCCUUGAUAUAAGAUCUGGACAUGUGGCCCACAUCCAAUUCACGCCACAAUACAUCUUUCCUUGUUCCACGUACAAUGCUAUGUGGGGUUAGAGGUGGUGGAAAUGCUGCAGCUCAGGCACUUUUUUGGCAAGUUAAGAAAGGCCUUUCCUUCACAUUAGCCUUUCAAUCUGAGAGAGAAAGAAAUGCAGCAAUGAUGCUUGCUCGAAGAUUUGCUUUUGAUUGUAAUAUCACACUUGCUGGACCAGAUGACCAGGCUUCUUCUGGAACUUGAUAAAUUUUUAUACCAUUUUAAGUAACCUAGUGAUUUUCCCAAAGUUAUAAAUGUAAUAUUAUAUCUAGCUAUGGAAAAUAGAUUGUAUCUAGGAUCUUGUUCUU